Mastomys coucha (southern multimammate mouse) is the source of this 990-nucleotide RNA transcript. It is a transcript of the gene named PDZ and LIM domain protein 1 pseudogene, with no coding region annotated. The transcript has 2 exons. Lineage: Eukaryota; Metazoa; Chordata; Mammalia; Rodentia; Muridae. The record is from RefSeq and is a predicted model, not a curated record.
CCCAGGAUCUACUAACUCGCGCCGCACGCUCUUUCUCCGACAGCUGCUCCCGGAGCCCCGCGCGCCUUGCUGUUCUGUGCCUUGCCCUUGUGUCAUCUCCGAUUGUGCCUAGCGAUGACCACCCAGCAGAUUGUUCUCCAAGGCCCGGGUCCCUGGGGUUUCCGCCUCGUGGGCGGCAAGGACUUCGAACAACCUCUCGCCAUUUCCCGGGUCACUCCUGGAAGCAAGGCUGCUAUAGCUAAUUUAUGUAUUGGAGAUUUAAUCACGGCCAUUGAUGGAGAAUAUACCAGCAGUAUGACACACUCGGAAGCUCAGAACAAAAUCAAGGGCUGCGUAGACAACAUGACGCUCACGGUAUCCAGGUCUGAACAGAAGAUUUGGUCUCCUCUAGUGACCGAGGAGGGGAAACGUCAUCCCUACAAGAUGAAUUUAGCAUCGGAACCCCAAGAAGUCUUGCACAUAGGAAGUGCCCACAACCGAAGUGUCAUGCCAUUUACUGCCUCACCUGCUCCCAGCACCCGGGUCAUCACAAAUCAGUACAACAACCCAACUGGCCUCUACUCAUCUGAAAACAUCUCCAACUUCAACAAUGCCUUGGAAUCGAAGACCUCAGCCAGUGGGGAGGAGGCGAACAGCAGGCCCUUGGUUCAGCCUCAUCCCUCCGGUAGCCUUGUCAUUGACAAGGACUCUGAAGUUUAUAAGAUGCUUCAGGAGAAGCAAGAGUUAAACGAGUCCCCCAAACAGUCCACGUCUUUCCUGGUUCUGCAGGAGAUCCUGGAGUCAGAUGGCAAAGGGGAUCCCAACAAGCCAUCGGGGUUUAGAAGUAUUAAAGCUCCAGUCACCAAAGUGGCUGCAUCUGUAGGAAAUGCUCAGAAGUUGCCCAUCUGUGACAAAUGUGGAACUGGUAUUGUUGGUGUGUUUGUGAAGCUGAGGGAUCAUCAUCGCCACCCUGAAUGUUACGUGUGCACCGACUGUGGUAGUGAUCCAUGA